UGAAGCAGCCAGCACAUCCAAUUAGU
This 26-nucleotide non-coding RNA is filed under the name Mus musculus (house mouse). The record is from RNAcentral. Lineage: Eukaryota; Metazoa; Chordata; Mammalia; Rodentia; Muridae.